Molecule: ribosomal RNA, 481 nt
Filed under: uncultured bacterium
Lineage: Bacteria
Description: bacterial SSU rRNA
Rfam family: Bacterial small subunit ribosomal RNA
Source: RNAcentral
GACGAACGCUGGCGGCGUGCUUAACACAUGCAAGUCGAGCGGUAAGGCCCUUCGGGGUACACGAGCGGCGAACGGGUGAGUAACACGUGGGUAACCUGCCCUGUACUCUGGGAUAAGCCCGGGAAACUGGGUCUAAUACCGGAUACGACCACUUGACGCAUGUCUGGUGGUGGAAAGUUCCGGCGGUAUGGGAUGGACCCGCGGCCUAUCAGCUUGUUGGUGGGGUAAUGGCCUACCAAGGCGACGACGGGUAGCCGGCCUGAGAGGGUGACCGGCCACACUGGGACUGAGACACGGCCCAGACUCCUACGGGAGGCAGCAGUGGGGAAUAUUGCACAAUGGGCGAAAGCCUGAUGCAGCGACGCCGCGUGAGGGAUGACGGCCUUCGGGUUGUAAACCUCUUUCAGCAGGGACGAAGCGUGAGUGACGGUACCUGCAGAAGAAGCACCGGCUAACUACGUGCCAGCCGCCGCGGUAACAC